UACAGAGGUCUCAAGCGUUGUUCGGAUUCAUUGGGCGUAAAGAGCGUGUAGGCGGCCAUGUAGGUCCGGUGUGAAAACUCGAGGCUUAACCUCGAGAUGUCAUCGGAAACCAUUUGGCUAGAGUCCGGAAGAGGAGAGUGGAAUUCCUGGUGUAGCGGUGAAAUGCGCAGAUAUCAGGAAGAACACCAAUGGCGAAAGCAGCUCUCUGGGACGGUACUGACGCUGAGACGCGAAAGCGUGGGGAGCGAACAGG
This 253-nucleotide ribosomal RNA is filed under the name uncultured bacterium. RNAcentral describes it as "partial 16S ribosomal RNA". It matches the Rfam family "Bacterial small subunit ribosomal RNA", at positions 524 to 776 of the family's 1533-position model. The record is from RNAcentral.